CUGAGGGAGCGGCCGGCUGCCGCCUCGGCCGCCGCGGGGUCCAUGGCCUGAGCGGCCAUGUCCGGCGUGGUGCGGACCCUCAGCCGCUGCCUGCUGCCGGCCGAGGCCGGCGGGGCCCGCGAGCGCAGGGCGGGCGGCGGCGGGGCCCGCGACGCGGAGCGCGAGGCGCGGCGGCGCAGCCGGGACAUCGACGCGGGGCUGGCCCGCGAGCGGCGCGCCGUGCGGCGCCUCGUCAAGAUCCUGCUGCUGGGCGCGGGCGAGAGCGGCAAGUCCACCUUCCUCAAGCAGAUGCGCAUCAUCCACGGCCGCGAGUUCGACCAGAAGGCGCUGCUCGAGUUCCGCGACACCAUCUUCGACAACAUCCUUAAGGGCUCAAGGGUUCUGGUUGAUGCACGAGACAAGCUUGGUAUUCCUUGGCAGUAUUCCGAAAAUGAGAAGCACGGGAUGUUCCUCAUGGCCUUUGAGAACAAAGCGGGGCUGCCCGUGGAGCCUGCCACCUUUCAGCUGUACGUACCUGCUCUGAGCGCGCUCUGGAGGGAUUCUGGCAUCAGGGAAGCUUUCAGCCGGAGGAGCGAGUUUCAGCUGGGUGAAUCAGUGAAGUACUUCCUGGAUAACUUGGACCGGAUUGGCCAGCUGAAUUACUUUCCUAGCAAGCAGGACAUCCUGCUGGCAAGGAAGGCCACCAAGGGCAUCGUGGAGCAUGACUUUGUCAUCAAAAAAAUCCCUUUCAAGAUGGUGGAUGUGGGCGGCCAGCGGUCUCAGCGCCAGAAGUGGUUCCAGUGCUUUGAUGGGAUCACGUCGAUCCUGUUCAUGGUCUCGUCCAGUGAGUACGACCAGGUCCUCAUGGAAGACAGGCGCACCAACCGCCUGGUGGAGUCCAUGAACAUCUUUGAGACCAUCGUUAACAACAAGCUCUUCUUCAACGUCUCCAUCAUCCUGUUCCUCAACAAGAUGGACCUCCUGGUGGAGAAAGUAAAGACUGUCAGCAUCAAGAAGCACUUCCCAGACUUCAAGGGUGACCCCCACAGGCUGGAGGACGUCCAGCGCUACCUGGUCCAGUGUUUCGACCGGAAGAGACGGAAUCGCAGUAAGCCACUCUUCCACCACUUCACCACCGCCAUAGACACCGAGAACAUCCGCUUCGUGUUUCACGCUGUGAAGGACACCAUACUGCAAGAGAACCUGAAGGAUAUUAUGUUGCAGUGAAGGAGGACGCCCCUCACUCUUGUGGUCCUUCAGCAGACUCGCCGGCCACAGGCCAGAUCUCCCCGGUGUCCCGGAGCGGGUUUCCCGAAUCCGUGCCCUCAACACCUGGCUCAGGGAUGCCGUGAGGCCCGCCACGCUCUAGGCCAAAGGACGUGACACUUUGAUGUUAGCUACUGAAUCCUGGGGACUAGUGAAACUACUGAAAAUCCGAGCAAUCACUUUGGUAUUAAUGUGUAAUGCUUAAUAACACAGCUUUCUUUCUUUUUACAGAAACUAUUCCUUCUCUGACACAAUGUAAUCGAGGACUGCGUGUGUGUGCGCGCACACUCUGUCUUUAAUGACAGAAACACGAAAACCGACAUCUCUGCAGAUGGCUUUUCUCUCUAACUCGAGAGUGCUUGGAGCGCUGUCACUGAGUGGAUGCCUCUAGAACACGACUUCAGGACAAGGAACAGGGCAGAUACAUGUAAAGACACGUGUGUGUGUGAAGGAGGGAUCCUGCUGCCCUGAGACCUGGGGGCCCGAGGAGAGGACCUGGUGAUGGACGUGGACGUGGCCAGAGACAGGAGGCUGGGGCAAGCCCAAGGGAAGGCAAGGGUGGGAACUGUUUCUCCGCAACCCCGUGGGGUGACCGUCCCCAUCACAAAACGAAGAAACCUCUGAUGCAAAGUGCGAAUGAUUCCCAGCCGACGGAGCUCGUGGCGCUCAGGAUUCUCUUGUAGAAAAGGCACGUAUGUAUUGUCCAGUGGCCAUCACCCGAGUAGGCGUUGUGUGCGUCCACAUGUGGGGAAGGCAGAACUGCCCCCCCGCCCCCAGAGAAACUUGUACUCGUCAUUAUCCACGUGGCUGAGGGCUAAGGUCUUUGAGUUCCAGUUUCCCCAUUUGUAAAAGUUGGAUCAGAUCACGAUGCUCAGCUCUGGCGCCGCAGUCAGGUCACCUGAGGGGCUUUGCAGAGCCCUGGGCUGAGCCACCCAGAACCUGUGCAGUACAGGCAUCACAUGGACGCACUCCUGGUUUCCCAGGUGGUUGCUGUGCAGCCGGGGUCACAGGCCAUGGAGCAGAGGACCAUGGAGGACUCCCUCCAGGCCGCUGGAAUUGUGGUACACAACGUGCUGGCCCCCGAAUCCUCCCCUUGCUGUGACCUACGACCUGCCUCAGGAAGAAAGUGAUGCUGGGUUUUCUGUUGUGGUUUAAGUGAAGAGCAGAAGUUCCCACUAAGCCUUCAGCAGCAUGUCGGGUGGUCCUUUCAGGCCUUUGGACGCCACCUUCUCCGUAAGGUACAUCAGAUGCGCUCAGCAACCUCAUUCCUCAGGGAUGCCCGGAAGUUUAGAGAGCUCUGCUUGAAGGAAAGGACGAGCUCUUUAAAGUCUGCCUGGCGGCGCUAGGGAGAGGUGGGCCUUGCGUGUGGGAUCCCUGCGUUUCACGGACUCGGCAUUCGGGGCGGGCGCAGGCCCUGGUGCCAAGGUUGGUGCUGGGCCUGCAGCUGGCGGGGGGCUGAGAGCUCAGCCCCCCUGAGCAAGGGCUGCUUUACCGACUGCGUUUGUGAGGCGCCUGCUGGGCCCUGAAGAGGGUGGUGGCAGGUCCCCAGAGGAAGGAGCUGCUUGGUUAAGGCGGCUCAGAGACUGGCACUCGCUGUGUUGACAGCCCUUAACGGCAGGUGGCACGCGGUCCGUGCUGAGUUCAGGGAAGGGGAAGGCUCGCUGUGGGUGGAGGGGAGCCCCUGGGGCGUGGAGGGGCCACUCCGCUUCCUCGGUCCCACUCUUGGUGUGUGGUUCCUACCUUCUGCUGAAGGAGGACUUCACGGCGCGCGAGGCCCAGCUGUUCGUGUGGGCCCUCACUCUCCUGCCAGGUCCCGCCCUCCGGAACCUGCUGGAACUAGAGGCUGGGUGUUCGCUGGCGCACAGGAUGGCGCUGAACUAGGUGGUUUCGGUUUCCACACCAUGUUGGCACCUCUUCAGGUGAAAACCUACUUCAAAGCACAACAGGUUGCUACCUGCCAGAAGCACCCCCAGUGCCCGCCUCUCGCUGGAUGGCAUGGGAUGCGCCACACCCAGAGCGGCUCCUCGGUGUGGACCGCACACCUGCAGGGGUUCUGCUGACCGUGACGGUGGUCGUGAGCCCCUAGGAGAGCGGAGCGCUGCUCAGCGUGGGAACUUGCUACGCGAGGCUCCCGCCCCAGGUCACCGCAGGAAGGAGCGGGAUGUUGCCAGCCCGAGUGAGUUCUCAAGCAUCCUAGCGGGAUGGAUGUUCCCGGGAAUCGGCGUCUGAGUACAGCAAGAGGUAGGAAAUGGGGUGGAACUCAGAAACAGACCGUGAGAUUCCUGCCCCAAACGCAGAACUCGUAGGGCAGCAGGCCCUCCCCGGCAGCCUGCGAUUAGGGUGUGGAGUAGCUGAGAACAGGCAGGAACUGCUCUUGUAUCCCACCCGACCUAUGACGCCUCCCUCCUCCUCAGAUCCAGCGAGGACCUUGGCACGUCGCUGUGAGGUGCUUGUUAUAGGGACCCGAAGACUGUUGCUGUAAACGCGGCCCCGUGGCUCG
Molecule: RNA transcript, 3745 nt
Organism: Lagenorhynchus albirostris (white-beaked dolphin)
Lineage: Eukaryota; Metazoa; Chordata; Mammalia; Artiodactyla; Delphinidae
Gene: GNA12
Gene name: G protein subunit alpha 12
Exons: 5
Source: RefSeq, a predicted model, not a curated record